Gorilla gorilla gorilla (western lowland gorilla) is the source of this 5339-nucleotide long non-coding RNA. RefSeq lists it as uncharacterized. NCBI's taxonomy places the organism in Eukaryota, Metazoa, Chordata, Mammalia, Primates, Hominidae. The transcript is spliced from 6 exons. The record is from RefSeq and is a predicted model, not a curated record.
AUUCUCUUGCCUCAGCCUCCCGAGUAGCUGGGAUUACAGGUGCACACCAUCAAGGCUGGCUAAUAUUUGUAUUUUUAGUAGAGGUGAGGUUUCACCAUGUUGACCAGGCUGGUCUCGCACUCCUCACCUCAAGUGACCUACCUGUCUAGGCCUCCCCAAAUGCUGGGAUUACAGGACUCAGCCACCACGUCCAGCUACAUAACUUUAUUAUAGAAACCCCUGAACACUUUACAUCAAAAAGCAUCACUCACUCUAACCCUGUCAGAGCCCCCCACCCUGCUCUGCUUCUCUUCAUAACACUUACUACCAUUCAGCACUAUGCAUUUUCUGGUUUAUUCCUGUCUUUCCUCACUAACACGUAAGCUUGAUAGAAGGAGAAGCUGUAUGUGUUUUGCUCAGUGUUGAUUCUCCACCACCCAGAACACCUCCUAGCAUAAGGUCAGCGCUCAGUAAGUUGCUGAAGGAAAGGGAUGGGUUUGAGCAGAGUGGAGAUGGAGAUCAGCUGAUGAACUUUUGAGAUCUAGUAGGUGGCAGAAUAGUCAGAUUGUGAUGAAUUGUUGGGUAUUGAGCAGGAAAAGGGAGAUGAAGGAAAUAAGAGGGCUCUAGGAGGCUCUCCAAGUUUCUGCCCUACACACUGAGUUGAUGGUAUACUGUUCCCUGAAAUAGAGAAGAUGGGAAAAGGAUUUGAUUAAGGACAGGGACAGAGAAGGAUAAUUUCAACUUUGAGGAAGUUGAGAUUCAGGUUAUUAGGACAUAUUCAACUGAAGAUAUCCUGGAGGUAGCUGGCUCUAGAACUAUUAACUGAGUUUGUGCUGAACACUCAUCUCUGUUAGGUACAAAACUGCAUGGAAAGGAGAUGAAGAGAGACUGUAUAGUAUUGAGUUAUUUUCCAGGGAAAAGCUAAAUCCUUUUAAACCCUUCAGGUGAACUUACCAAACCAGCUGCUACUCAGAAGCUCACAGCCUUUCAGAAAAAGGUAUUCUCCAAGCCUCCAAGGAGUCUUAUUGUCUCAAGGCAACCAUUUUUCAGUUUGACUCUGGGGGUGCGUGUUUGCCAUUCAGAACCUACUAUAUUUUACCGCACCUCCUGACAUUGUUACACAACAUUUAUUGAAAGCACAUUUGAUGGUAAUGAAGUUUCUAUUAACUAUGAUUAAAUCUCAUAAAGCACCUGAAGAUAAUUUAAGAUGUGCAGAAGCAGAAAAUGAAACAUUCGGUUUAGUACAUUAGGAAACAUAAUUGAUUAAAUUAUCUCAUUUACAAUAAGUGCUUUCAUGAGCUAUGCAGUGCACAUAUUUUCCCCAGUUUGUCAUUAUGAUUUGCCAACAGAUAUCUUAAGACUUCACCUUCUUUUUACACCUCCCCGCAACUCUAAGCUCGUGCCUCUGCCCGCCUGCUCAUGGAGCACUCUGUGCAGAGCUCUGAGUGAUGUUUUCUAUCUGCCAGGCCUUAUGGAAGAUCAUGUGUAUGGCUAUAUAUAGGCACAGGUUGUUUCUCAAUUAUCUUCAUAAUUGACUUUGAUUUACAUCAGUGAUGAUUCAUGUAGUCUCACACUAAGCCCCUCUUUCACCGAACAACUGCAGCCUGAAUUUCUAUAAUGCACUCCUAACCAUACAGCUUACAGAACCCCGAUUGGAUUCCUCUGGGAGCCUUUUGCAAUCACAUUGAUUCUCUAAGGUCUUAUUUUUAGAGAAAUCACAAAUUAAAACAGUUUAAGCGAUUCCGUUGCAGUAUCCAGCAAUUAAGCAUGGUGCUCAGGAGCGAGAACCCCAAGCAAAAACUGAUUCUGAAGUCCCUAAGGACUGGAAAUGGCUUCUGCGGGGUUUAUGGCUGGAAGUACAGAUGUAACCAAAUUACAAUGGCACAGGACUCACAAACUAAGUGUGAAAUUAAUUUUAAAAACACAUACAUGCAUUUCUAAGUAACUCUCACAUUGGCCACCCCAUGGAUACCUAUGAUCUUUUUUGUGCUAUAUGACAGAAUCAGUGGACAGCAUGCACCAUGUGGCCGGGAGCAAGGUAAGAGUCCACUUACUCCACCUGUCAUCCUGAGGGUCCUGACACAAGCACAGGCCAAAUAUUCAGUGAUCUGUUUAUUUCUCUCUCCCUCAAUGCCCAUACACAUGAACACACAUAUACACAGCCAGGUGCCCCCAAACUCAGUCUUCCCAUAAAUUCAAAAUCAAACAUGCAUGAUGUCAGAGGACCAAUACUUAAGUAGUAAUGAUUUUUUUUUAAUGGGCAGCAGACAGCAGGGAAAUAAGUUUAAAUGUUUAUUUUUGCUGUUUUCCCAAAUUCUUAGACUUUGCAAGUAAUGAUAUCUUUGUAUCUCCAGCCUUCCUGAAGCAACAUAAGGAAAUAGGAACAGAAUGGCUUUACUGGAUUUUUCCCUCAUGUCUUGUGACCCCUGUCCCAAGUUACCUAUUUCUGUCUAUCCUCACAGGGUCUUAAUUCUCUCAAUGAAGUUAGCUCAUAAUAGCUAUUAACUCUUCCAAGCUCUUUGAAUUUUAAUACCCUAGGAUUUAAAAGAUCAAAAGUCAUUCAGUUGAUACUAGAAUGAGAGAUGCUAGGCAGGGACGUCUUUCACAAGCUUUACAAACCAAACCAGCCAGGCAGUUGUCUGAUCUCCUACUAAUGAGAGCUGUAUUAAUGUUGCCCCAGUAUCUUGAAGUUUCCCUAGCGUCCUUUACAUAUUUCUGAUGUAUGAGAAUGACUUGGGGAACAUAUUAACACAUAGAUUCUUAGGAGCUCCUCAACCAGGAAUUCAAAUUUAUUUGUUCUGUUCUGAGGUGGUGCAUAUUUAAUUUAACAAGCUCCAGCCACACUCUGAGAUGCUGAUGCAUGUGGAUUCUGAUCCACCUUUUGAGAAACAUUUUUCUAAAAUCAUGGUUCUCAGCCCCACCUGCACCUUGGAGUCACCUGAGGAGCUUUGAAAAAUAGAGAUACCUGGGUCCUGAAAACCCUCCACCUUAAAUUCCGAUAGCCUUGAUACAGCCUGGAAAUUGGGAAUUUUAAAAGGCCUACAGGUGACACUAAAGAGCAUAAGGUCAAAUGCCAUACUGCUAGCCAUUCCAGCCAUCUCCUCUCUCCAGCUCUGCAGGAAGCAUAAAAUGAAGACAAUGCAAAGGCCUCUCCCAUAAGCAAGCCUGGGUACAACGAGCCUAAGCCAGUACCAACACCCCAAUCCUCAGCUCGUAAUUAUUUCACCAUGGAGUUCUGGAUCCUAAUCUGCCCAGCUGCCAUGGAUUCCACAGGAGAUUCUUAUCAGGAUGAGAAAAGCAGUGAGCUUUCAGCCUGUCACUCUAUUAUAUACAACCAGAAGCCUGCUCAGGAACGAAGAUUACGCUGGGUAGCAAAAUGAAACUCCAUUAAAAACAGUUUUAUCUUGGUCCUAUCCUUGGUCCAAACUUCUCUUUCCUUGAACACAAAAGGAAGACGCAGAUGGAAGCCCUCUACUCCGUGGAUCCUCAAUCGACUUCAGCCCCAUUGCCAUGUGAUGCCAUGUCCUGUGCCACCUCUGGACUCUGCAGAGAGUCCCCACCAGCAAGAAGGCUCUCACCAGACAUAGCUCCUCGACCUUGGAUUUCUCAGCCUCCAGAACGGUAAGAAAUAAAUUUCUUUCCCUUGAAAAUUACCCAGUUUCAGGUAUUUUGUUAUGAGCAACAAGAAAUAAACUAAGACACUGUCCUACCAUGAUCUUCUUUCUGGGACUUUGGCAGUGGUUUCUUCACCAACUGGUCUGUCUGUGGCUUCUAUUCUGACCUCUACAGUUGAUUUUCUACAAAGGAAUGAGACCACACCACUUUCUAGCUUGAGAUCAUUCAGUGGCUUUGAAUCUUACUUAGAAUGAAACCUCUAGGCUAACAAAAUCCUUAUGGGGGUUCUAGCACCCUCUGUGAGUUAUCCACCUCAGAGCCUCAAGCUCACUCCACUUUAGCCAUGCUGUACUCCUUCAUGCCCUUUGAACUUUCUAAAGUUCAAAGCAAGCUCCAACCUCAGAGCCUUCAUAUCUACUGAUUCCUCUGCCCUGAAGAACUUUCCCAUAGGUGGUACCAUGGCUCAUUCCCACUUUGCAUUUAAAUCUCAGGUCAAAUGUUAUUUCUUCACAGAGGCCUUACUUAACAACCCUUUCAAAAAUAGUAAACCCCACCCCUUCCUGCUUUUUCUUCCUAAUGCUUACCUCUGUUUACUAGUCUUUUUUCCUUUUUAUUUUUUGAGACAAUGUCUCAAAAGACUACUGCUGGAACACAGUAGUGUGAUCAUAGCUCACUACAACCUUGACCUUCCAGGCUCAAGCAAUCCUCCCACCUCAGCCUCCUGACUAGCUGGGACUACAGGCUCUACAGAUUGAUUUUAAAGCCACCUACACUGCAGUUUCUUCAAUUUAGCUCCACUUAUCUGAUUAUGCAUCACAAAAGGAAGCAGAAAUUCAGCUUAAUUGUGAAGCCAUUGCAGCAGAACCAAGCAAAUGAUAGAAAACCUCAUGAUCACAGACAGAAUCACACUCACUGAUGCUGAAUGAAAUGACAGACAUCCGUCCCUCUGCAGAAGCCUGAAUACUGAUCACAGAAUUUUAUGUUCUGACAUUGUGUGUCUCUUGUCAGAUAGUGUUGUCCUUUACUUUCCCCGCUUCAGUUGUGAAAGUCAGGUGCAGUCUCAUACUAUUUUUUUUUAAAUUCAUUAUGACAAGUAAAUGGUCUCUGGGAAAGCGAACAUCCUCAUCCACUGUUUACUGAAACUGUAACACUGUCAUGAGUGAAGAAUGAAACAUGUUUAAUGUAAAGAGUUUGCAGAAUGAUGAUCAGAGGAAAAGAACAUUAAACAGAAGAAACAUAAAUAUAAGGAUGGGGAGAGAGAUGUAAUCAAAAGACAGCUUGUAAGGGAGGUUACAUGCUGCCAUUUGCUUUUCAGCUGUGUUUUCCAUAGUGGGACAGAUCUUGCUCUUUGUUACUUCUACUUUUGCUUUUUCCCAUCUGCAAAGAGGGAAACAAUCUGCUUUUGAAUCUCUAGUGAAGCAUCACCUAGAAGCUGCUGCCAAAGCUUGAUAUCCAGAGUGCUCUAAAACAUAGUGUGAUGUGCCCUUUCAUCUUAAAGGAUUAUUUUUGGCUGGGCAGACCUCUCUAAGAUAGAUUAUAAGGAGCUGGCUUUUAGAGGCACUGAAAACUGCUUCUGCAUUCACAUUUACCCCCUCCCUCCAUUAUCUGAGGUAUGUAAAUAAUGUUUUAAAGUGGUGAUGUGAGAAUAUUAAUUUUUUCAUUUCUUGUUCCUGUUACCAUGUAAUAUAUCUUCAAGUGCUGAGAAAACAUCUUACAAAACCAUUAAAGAUUCCAAAUGUUCAUAC